GGGGAGUAACUAUUGGAAACGAUAGCUAAUACCGCAUAACAGUAGAUAUUGCAUGAUAUCUGCUUGAAAGGGGCAAUUGCUCCACUACCAGAUGGACCUGCGUUGUAUUAGCUAGUUGGUGAGGUAACGGCUCACCAAGGCGACGAUACAUAGCCGACCUGAGAGGGUGAUCGGCCACACUGGGACUGAGACACGGCCCAG
This 201-nucleotide ribosomal RNA is filed under the name uncultured Streptococcaceae bacterium. Its description in RNAcentral is "partial 16S ribosomal RNA". It matches the Rfam family "Bacterial small subunit ribosomal RNA", at positions 138 to 334 of the family's 1533-position model. The record is from RNAcentral. Lineage: Bacteria; Bacillati; Bacillota; Bacilli; Lactobacillales; Streptococcaceae.